RNAcentral lists this ribosomal RNA (443 nucleotides) under Ctenolabrus rupestris (goldsinny wrasse). RNAcentral's name for it is "partial small subunit ribosomal RNA". It matches the Rfam family "Bacterial small subunit ribosomal RNA", at positions 7 to 794 of the family's 1533-position model. The record is from RNAcentral. Lineage: Eukaryota; Metazoa; Chordata; Actinopteri; Labriformes; Labridae.
CAAAGGCUUGGUCCUGACUUUAUUAUCAAUUUUAGCUAGACUUACACAUGCAAGCAUCCGCAUCCCCGUGAGAAUGCCCUGUAGUUCCCUGCUCGGGAACAAGGAGCUGGUAUCAGGCACAAAACACUAGCCCAUGACACCUUGCUUAGCCACGCCCUCAAGGGAAUUCAGCAGUGAUAGACAUUAAGCCAUGAGUGAAAACUUGACUUAGUUAAAGCUAAGAGGGCCGGUAAAUCUCGUGCCAGCCACCGCGGUUAUACGAGAGGCCCAAGUUGAUAACCACCGGCGUAAAGAGUGGUUAGGGCAGACUAUUAAACUAAAGCCGAACAUCUUCAAAGCUGUUAUACGCAUACGAAGAACAGAAACACAACCACGAAAGUGGCUUUACUUCACCUGACCCCACGAGAGCUAUGACACAAACUGGGAUUAGAUACCCCACUAUG